RNAcentral lists this ribosomal RNA (492 nucleotides) under Coccinellidae sp. 2 PFRJ-2020. RNAcentral describes it as "partial large subunit ribosomal RNA". Lineage: Eukaryota; Metazoa; Arthropoda; Insecta; Coleoptera; Coccinellidae. The record is from RNAcentral.
AGAACUUUGAAGAGAGAGUUCAAUAGUACGUGAAACCGUUCAGGGGUAAACCUGAGAAACCCGAAAGGUCGAACGGAGAGAUUCAUUCGCGGACCGCGCGUUCGUCGUAGCCGUCGGCACGACGGGUUGCUCUUCGGGGCAGCCCGCGCCGUCGCGUUCCGAACGUUCGUCGAACGCGUGCACUUCUCUCCUAGUAGGACGUCGCGAUCCGUUGGGUGCCGGCCGAAGGCACGUCGAGGAGCCCGCGUUCACGGCGCAAGUCGUCGUUCGCGGACCGAUCGUCGCCUGGCCGGCCGCUUGACGGUACGCAUACGGCGGGAGGCCGCGAAUUUUCGCGUUCGGCCCGCGGCAAGCGCGCUUUACGCGCCGGCGUUCGGAUCUGAUGCCGAUGCCGGCCUUUAGCGGUUGUUCGCCGCGGAGUUCUCGGACUGACCUCUAAUUAAACGCCGAUCGGCGACGCUACAGCUUUGGGUACUCUCAGGGCCCGUCUUG